Molecule: transfer RNA, 78 nt
Filed under: Acidobacteriota bacterium
Lineage: Bacteria; Pseudomonadati; Acidobacteriota
Description: Acidobacteria bacterium tRNA-Arg
Rfam family: tRNA
About the family: Transfer RNA (tRNA) molecules are approximately 80 nucleotides in length.
Source: RNAcentral
GCGCCCGUAGCUCAGCACGGAUAGAGCGUUGGUCUACGAAACCAAAGGUCACAGGUUCGAAUCCUGUCGGGCGCGCCA